Molecule: ribosomal RNA, 465 nt
Filed under: uncultured bacterium
Lineage: Bacteria
Description: partial 16S ribosomal RNA
Rfam family: Bacterial small subunit ribosomal RNA
Source: RNAcentral
GAUGAACGCUGGCGGCGUGCUUAACACAUGCAAGUCGAACGAUGAAGCCCAGCUUGCUGGGUGGAUUAGUGGCGAACGGGUGAGUAACACGUGAGUAACCUGCCCUUAACUCUGGGAUAAGCCUGGGAAACUGGGUCUAAUACCGGAUAGGAGCGUCCACCGCAUGGUGGGUGUUGGAAAGAUUUAUCGGUUUUGGAUGGACUCGCGGCCUAUCAGCUUGUUGGUGAGGUAAUGGCUCACCAAGGCGACGACGGGUAGCCGGCCUGAGAGGGUGACCGGCCACACGGGAACGAGGACACGGCCCAGAUUCCUCGGGGGGGAAGCGGGGGGGAAUAUUGCACAAGGGGCGCAAGCGUGAUGCGGCGACGCCGGGUGGGGGAUGACGGCCUUGGGGUUGAAACCCUUUUUGGGUAGGAAAAAAGGGAAAGUGACGGUACCUGAAGAAGAAGCACCGGCUAACUACGU